CUUGGUCAUUUAGAGGAAGUAAAAGUCGUAACAAGGUUUCCGUAGGUGAACCUGCGGAAGGAUCAUUAGUGAAUUAAACAUGCUUGGUGUCUUCGCUUCGGCAAGGCCCUUGCUUAACUCACAUCCCAACACCUGUGAACUGUAAGGCGCAUGACUAGGUUCGCCCAAGUCAUCGUCUGCCCUUUUUAACAAACAAUUAAUGUAACAAACGUAGUCUUAUUAUAACCUAAUAAAACUUUCAACAACGGAUCUCUUGGCUCUCGCAUCGAUGAAGAACGCAGCGAAAUGCGAUAAGUAAUGUGAAUUGCAGAAUUCAGUGAAUCAUCGAAUCUUUGAACGCACCUUGCGCUCUUUGGUACUCCGAAGAGCAUGCCUGUUUGAGUGUCAUGAAAAUAUCAACCUUGACUUGGGUUUUGUGCUCUAGUCUCGGCUUGGAAUUGGGUGCUUGCCGCUUUUACGAGCGGCUCACCUUAAAUGUAUUAGCUGGAUCUGUCUUUGAGACUUGGUUUGACUUGGCGUAAUAAGUAUUUCGCUAAGGACAUUCUUCGGAGUGGCCUCGUUUCUAGGACGCUUGUCCGCUUUCCAAUACAAGUUCCACCUCGUGGACAUGACUUUUUAUUAUCUGGCCUCAAAUCAGGUAGGACUACCCGCUGAACUUAAGCAUAUCAAUAAGCGGAGGAAAAGAAACUAACAAGGAUUCCCCUAGUAACGGCGAGUGAAGCGGGAAAAGCUCAAAUUUGAAAUCUGGCAGCCUCAGGUUGUCCGAGUUGUAAUCUAUAGAAACGUUUUCCGCGCUGGCCCAUGUACAAGUCCCUUGGAAUAGGGCGUCAUAGAGGGUGAGAAUCCCGUCCUUGACACGGACCACCAGUGCUUUGUGAUACGUUUUCAACGAGUCGAGUUGUUUGGGAAU
Molecule: small RNA, 910 nt
Filed under: uncultured Cryptococcus
Lineage: Eukaryota; Fungi; Basidiomycota; Tremellomycetes
Description: eukaryotic LSU rRNA
Rfam family: Eukaryotic large subunit ribosomal RNA (bases 624-910)
Source: RNAcentral